AAUAGAUACCCUGGUAGUCCACGCCGUAAACGAUGAGUGCUAAGUGUUGGGGGGUUUCCGCCCCUCAGUGCUGCAGCUAACGCAUUAAGCACUCCGCCUGGGGAGUACGGUCGCAAGACUGAAACUCAAAGGAAUUGACGGGGGCCCGCACAAGCGGUGGAGCAUGUGGUUUAAUUCGAAGCAACGCGAAGAACCUUACCAGGUCUUGACAUCCCGGUGACCACUAUGGAGACAUAGUUUCCCCUUCGGGGGCAACGGUGACAGGUGGUGCAUGGUUGUCGUCAGCUCGUGUCGUGAGAUGUUGGGUUAAGUCCCGCAACGAGCGCAACCCUUAUUCUUAGUUGCCAUCAUUCAGUUGGGCACUCUAAGGAGACUGCCGGUGAUAAACCGGAGGAAGGUGGGGAUGACGUCAAAUCAUCAUGCCCCUUAUGACCUGGGCUACACACGUGCUACAAUGGACGGCACAAACGGUUGCCAACCCGCGAGGGGGAGCUAAUCCGAUAAAACCGUUCUCAGUUCGGAUUGUAGGCUGCAACUCGCCUAC
This 544-nucleotide ribosomal RNA is filed under the name uncultured bacterium. Its description in RNAcentral is "bacterial SSU rRNA". It matches the Rfam family "Bacterial small subunit ribosomal RNA", at positions 777 to 1319 of the family's 1533-position model. The record is from RNAcentral.